RNAcentral lists this non-coding RNA (30 nucleotides) under Mus musculus (house mouse). The record is from RNAcentral. Lineage: Eukaryota; Metazoa; Chordata; Mammalia; Rodentia; Muridae.
UGGGGAACUUAUGUUUUUAUGAGACUGUUU